UACGGGAGGCAGCAGUGGGGAAUAUUGCACAAUGGGCGAAAGCCUGAUGCAGCUAUGCCGCGUGUAUGAAGAAGGCCUUAGGGUUGUAAAGUACUUUCAUCGGGGAGGAAAAAACAAAACUAAUAAUUUUAUUUCUUGACGUUACCCGAAAAAGAAGCACCGGCUAACUCCGUGCCAGCAGCCGCGGUAAUACGGAGGGUGCUAGCGUUAAUCAGAAUUACUGGGCGUAAAGAGCACGUAGGUGGUUUUUUAAAGUCAGAUGUGAAAUCCCUGGGCUUUAACCUGGAACUGCAUUUUGAAACUGAAAUACUAGAGUAUCGUAGAGGGAGGUAGAAUUCUAGGUGUAGCGGUGAAAUGCGUAGAUAUCUGGAGGAAUACCUGUGGCGAAAGCGGCCUCCUAAACGAAUACUGACACUGAGGUGCGAAAGCGUGGGGAGCGAAACAGGGAUUAGAUACC
This 457-nucleotide ribosomal RNA is filed under the name uncultured bacterium. RNAcentral's name for it is "bacterial SSU rRNA". It matches the Rfam family "Bacterial small subunit ribosomal RNA", at positions 340 to 786 of the family's 1533-position model. The record is from RNAcentral.